UAGAAAGUUCAAGACCAGACUUACCUUGU
This 29-nucleotide non-coding RNA is filed under the name Mus musculus (house mouse). Lineage: Eukaryota; Metazoa; Chordata; Mammalia; Rodentia; Muridae. The record is from RNAcentral.